CUUCCUUCCCACUACAUUGUGAAAGUAUAUUCUGAAGAAUAUUCUCUUGAUGUAUUUGAUUGACCAAAGGGAGUGUAUUUAUACAAGGUUAAUUACCCAAAUAAACUAAACCUACUUUAUUUACAUUAAUAUCAUUACCCAAAAUAACUAAACCUACUUUAUUUACAUUAAUACCCUCCCUCAAACUCAAGGUGGUAGAGUAGCGAUCAACUUGAGUUUGGUAAGUAAGUGACAAAAUCGAUUAGAUGGCAAGGCUUUGGUGAAGAUAUCCGCAGGUUGUUCAAUAGUAGAAACAGAACGUAAGAGGAGGGUGUUGCUUAAGAGGUGGUGACGAACAAAGUGACAGUCAUUUUCAAUGUGUUUUGUACGUUCAUGAAACACAUCAUUGUGAGCAAUCUGAAUGGCACUACGAUUGUCACAAUGGAGGAGGGUAGGACCCUGUUGAGGGACACUCAUAUCGGCAAGGAGCCACCGAAGCCAUAUAAGUUCAGCUGUAGCAUCAGCCAGAGCACGAUAUUCAGAUUCCGUACUGGAACGAGAUAUAACACUUUGUUUCUUACUACGCCAUGAGAUGAGAGAAUCACCUAAGUAAAAACAGUAUCCUGUAGUGGAUCGUCGAUCAGUAGGAUCCCCCGCCCAAUCAGCAUCAGAAUAUCCCGACAACACAAGGGAAGACUGAGAUGAGAAUUGAAGACCAUGUCCCAAGGUGCCUUUGACAUAGCGAAGUAUGCGUAGAACAGCAGUGAAAUGAAUUGUUCGAGGAGCAGCCAUAAAUUGACUGACAAUAUGAACAGCAUAUGCAAUAUCUGGGCGAGUUACUGUUAGGUAUAUAAGACUGCCAACAAGUUGCCGAUACAAGCUUGCAUCGUCAAGAGGAACACCAUCAAACGGAGUUAGAUGGACAUGAGGAUCUAACGGUGUUGAAGAUGUGGUGGAGUCUGUAAUUCCUGAGCGUGCUAUUAGAUCAGAUGCAUAUUUCGCUUGAGAUAACAGAUAACCAUCUGAACGGUGAGAGACUUCAAGACCGAGAAAGUAAUUGAGAGAUCCAAGGUCUUUCAUCUCAAAAUGUUGACCAAGAUAUUGUUGUAGGUCGGAUAUGGCCUGUUGAUCAUUACCAGUAAUAAUCAUAUCAUCAACAUAAAGAAGGAGAAGAACAAUACCAUGAGUUGUCUGUCGUGUAAAAAGGGCAUUGUCGUGAGAGCUGGAGGUAAAUCCAAGUUGAGUAAUGGUGGAGCUAAACGUGGCAAACCAAGCUCGUGGAGCCUGUUUUAGACCGUAUAGAGCGCGACGAAGGAGACACACCUUGUUGGGAGGAGGAGAAGUUCCCUGAGGUGGCUUCAUAUACACUUCUUCAGAUAGGUUGCCGUUAAGAAAUGCAUUUUUGACAUCCAUCUGAAAAAGAGGCCACUGUUUGGCAGCAGCAACAGCUAACAAGCUGCGAACAGAUGUCAUCCGGGCAACAGGGGCAAAUGUUUCUUCAUAGUCAAUCCCAUAUUCUUGUGAGUAUCCUUUUGCAACAAGCCGAGCUUUAUAACGUUCAAUAGUUCCAUCAGAGUGAGUUUUGAUUUUGUAAAUCCAUUUGCAACCAAUGGGUCUUUUACCGGGAGGUAAAUCAACAUAGUCCCAAGUGUGCGUCUUUUCAAGAGCCUGUAAUUCUUCAUCCAUUGCUUUCUGCCAUACUGGGUUAAUACUGGCCUCUUGAUAAGAGGUGGGUUCAACAAGGGAAACAAUGGUAGAAAAACAAUGGUAAUCAGUGAGAUGAGGGGGAGGUUCUCUUACCCUGGUAGAGCGACGAAGAGGAGUAGCAGGUGGCGAUUCAGGAACAUCAUCGGAGACAGACGGUGGAUCCAGAUUUGCAGUAGCAGGUGAAGAUUGUGCAAGCUCAGUAUCCAAGGUGGGUUCAGAGAGAGGAAAAAGGUCAACAGAUGUGUUUGUAAAGAAAGAUUGAGGACUAGAGAAGGAGGUGUGGAAGGAGGACAAACGAGAGAACAUAGUGUGUUCCCAAAAAGUGACAUGCCGAGAUAUCCGGAGUCGGUUGGAAAGAGGGUCCCAACAACGAAAUCCUUUGUGUUCGGUGCCAUAGCCAAGGAAGCAACAGAGACGGGCACGUGGUUCAAGUUUAUUGUGUUCAUGAGGAUGUAACAGAACGAAGCAGGCACUACCAAAAACUUUGAGUUUAGAAUAGUCGGGAGAAAUACCAUAUAGUUUUUCGAACGGAGAGGUAUUUUGAAGGACAGAGGAAGGGAGACGAUUGAUUGUAUAUACUGAUGUAAGGGCAGCUUCACCCCAGAAUUUUUCUGGACAAGAGGCAGAAAGAAGGAGGGCACGUACUGAGUCAAGAAUGUGACGAUGUUUGCGCUCAGCACGUCCAUUUUGUUGAGAGGUAUGAGGGCAAGAGCGCUGAACAAUAGUGCCCUGUUGGGAAAGAAAAGAAAGAAGGAUGGAAUCUUUAUAUUCCAAAGCAUUAUCAGUGCGAAGAAUUUUGAUGGGAGAGGAAAAUUGAGUGCGAAUCAUGUUAGCAAACUCAAUAUAUGUGCGAGAUAAUUCAGAACGAUGUUUUAGAAAGUAAAUCCAUGUAAAUCGAGAGUAGUCAUCAAUGAAUAAAACAUAGUAGCGAUAACCAUGAACAGUAGUAAUUGGGGCAGGACCCCAAAUAUCAGAAUGCACUAAAUCAAAAGGUUUAUCACAAUUAGAGAUGGAUUGAGAAAAAGAUAAGGCAGGUUGUUUAGCAAGUUUGCAAUUCAAACAAUUAAAAGGAACAAAUUUAGUAAGAUUAGUCAAAUUGUUAACAGAAAUUAAAUGACGAAGUUUUUCAGAGGAAGCAUGACCAAGACGAAGAUGCCACUGAUAUGUGUCAGAAUCAGUGACCGAAGCAGAGAUGGAAGAAGGAGAUGAAAUCCGAAGUGAUGUGAGCUCAAACAAUCUUCCCACUUUGCGACCCGUUCCAAUCGUCUGUCCCGUCUGCGGAUCCUGAACCUGACAACCAUUGGGAGAAAAUGAAACAUUUAAGCCCAGAUCACAUAAUUGACCAACAGACACUAGAUUAAAGGUCAGGUUAGGAACACAGUAAGUAUGGGGAAGAUGUACACUGGGAGUAUCAAUGGUACCAGUAUGAGAGAUGUUCAUACAAUUACCAUCAGCAGCAUAAAUAGGAGGUAAAGAUUUUGUAGGGCUAGACGUAGACAUAAGAGAAGAGUCAGAGGUCAUAUGAUUACAACAGGCAGAAUCAAGAAGCCAUCGAUUACCUGAUGAAACAGCCAGAGCGGAGGAUGAUGAAAUUAGUUGAUUCAAUAAGCUCUGAAGAUCACUUAUCUGAAUGAGGGAUGAAUCAUCCGAGGUCGCAGCAACAACAGAUGAGGAACCAUGUUUGGUAAAAAUUUUCUCUUUUGUGGAAGUGCUAGGAGGUCGGGGUGGUCUGGUAGGGCAGUUAUCCAGAAUGUGGCCAUGUUUAUGGCAGUACCUGCACUCUAUUUUAGGACAGUUACUAAAUUUGUGACCAGAGAGCUUACAAUUCUUACAAAACAUAUUUGCGGCUCUGUUGGGAGUGUAUGUGCUAGCAAGGACAACAUCAGAUUGUUUAGUAGAGUUGAUGCCAAGACGCUUUUCUUCAAACAGAAUUUCUUGAAUAGCUGCAUCUAAUGAGGGUAAGGGAUUCCGGUGUAGUAAAGCAGCUCUAACAGAUUCAUAUUCUGGACGUAAUCCCAUAAGGACUUUAAUAAGGCGAAGAUGAUCUUUGCUGAUGUUCGCUUGGUCAAGUUGAGUCCAAAUGGGUUGAAGAACUGCCAAAUAUUCAUUAACAGACUGACCAGAAUCUUGAUUUAGAUUUACAAGUGUACUGUGCAGUUGGUAAUAAUGGGCUAAACCAAUAGACUUGAAGCAGUGUAGACAAAAAAUCCCAUAAUAUUUUAGCAUCAUCAAAGGCAUCAAACUGUGCAUGUAUAGCGGGAAUAGAGGUGUUACCAAGCCAGGUGAUAAUUUGAUGAUUUUUACUGUCCCAAUCUUCGAGACGUUCAAUGAAUGUGUUAUCCCCUUCCUUUGCAGUUGGUUUGGUGAUGUCGCCAGUUACAAUGCGCCAUAGUUUUCUUCCAAUAAGAAAACUUUUCAUUUGAUUUGCCCAUGUGAUAUAAUUUGUACCAUCAAGUAUGGUAGAAAUGGGUCUAAAGAUAUGGUCUCUCUCCAUUUUGAUUUGGGGUUAACAAUGCGGAUUUUCGGCCGAGUUUUGACUGAUUCGUGACUGGAUUCAGGGGUGCACGGCUGGGAACGGAGACAAACAAAAAAAACUUGAAGACAAACGGCUGAAAGAUUCGUCAGAUCUGAAGACAAACGGCUGAAGGAUUCGUCAGAUCUGAAGACAAACGGCUGAAGGAUUCGUCAGAUCUGAAGACAAACGGCUGAAGGAUUCGUCAGAUCUGGUGUUGAACCGUGCACAUCUGUCACCAGAGACCGAAUCGACAAGAAACCACGAUCAGCGUGUAGAUCUACAAAAAUCUAUCGAUCUACGAACUUCGAAACAUCGACAGAGUGGAAGACGGAGCUAGAUCUGCGAAAAAUGAAAUCAAAGAAACUUGGAAAGAUAGGGUUUCCAACGGAGGCAGAUCCGGCUGAGACGGCUGGACAGCGGCGGAAGAGCAAUGGCGGCAGCGGCGGAAGGCCUUGCGGUACAGGUUCACGCGGCGGCCUUGGCUUCAACGGAGACAGAACCGGUUGAGACGGCUGGACAGCGGCGGAAGAGCAAUGGCGGCAGCGGCGGAAGGUCUUGCGGUACAGAUCUGGACGGCGGCCGCAAGGUGACGCGUACGGUUGCCUCGCGGAUGGAGACGAAUCGGAAGGUGACGCGUACGGCUGCCUCGCGGAUGGAGACGAAUCGGAGCGGAAACGGCGCGGCUGCCUCGCGGAUGGAGAUGAAUCGGAGCGGAAACGACGCCGAUGUUGUGGCUGCUGCUGCGAUGCCGAGGCUGCUGCGAUGCCGAGGCUGCUGCUGAUCGGCGCGACGCCGAUGUUGUGGCUGGAGACAGAUCGGAGCUGUCUGCGAGGCGCGCGGAAGGGCUGGAGACAGAUCGGAGCUGUUGCUGCGAUGCCGAGGCUGCUGCGAUGCCGAGGCUGCUGCUGAUCGGCGCGACGCCGAUGUUGUGGCUGGAGACAGAUCGGAGCUGUCUGCGAGGCGCGCGGAAGGGCUGGAGACAGAUCGGAGCUGUCUGCGGCGCGAUGAGGAUGACGGAGACGGAGACUUUCACGGGUGGGCGGCGGCGGCGGCGGCGGCGGCGGCUAAGAUGAAAAACCCUAGCUUUGAUACCAUGUGAAAGUAUAUUCUGAAGAAUAUUCUCUUGAUGUAUUUGAUUGACCAAAGGGAGUGUAUUUAUACAAGGUUAAUUACCCAAAUAAACUAAACCUACUUUAUUUACAUUAAUAUCAUUACCCAAAAUAACUAAACCUACUUUAUUUACAUUAAUAUACAUAAUUUUCAGGCAUUGAAUCUGUCUCUAACUUCACUCUAUUUCUGUGGGUGCAUGCAUGGUCAAGUUGUACUAAUUGACGUAACUUGGUGCAGUGUUUUGAUAACACCUCUAUAGUUUCCUUCAUUUUUUUUCGUCCUUACUGAGCUAUGGAUGACUGUAGAAAAAUUAGGUGGUGGUUUUAUGAAAGGAAAUACCUUGUUUGAUCUUAUUUUCUGUUCAACAUCUUCAUAAGCAAACAAGUCUAACAUAUCCUCGAUCAGCUUGAUAAACAAUACCCACACUCAGUUAUUAAGCCAUCGUGUGAAUAAUGAUUUGUUUUGAUGCCAUUAGGAUCCUUUAAGCAUGAAGUAGCUAGCUCUUUUUGUAGCUCUUCUAGCACCUUCUUCAACCCUCUUGGACACACACUAAUUUGCUCACCUAGCAGAGUUAGAGCCUUCUUUAGAUCUUGGUUGCACAGCAAAAGUCCAUAGGAACUCAGCCAUAUUUCUCACCCCUCUUUGCUCUUUACUUUACUUCUGUCUUUCCAAGGAGAAAGGAAGAGGAGAAAUUAGCAGCAGCAAAGGAAUUUCAUGAAAUCUUUAACGUAAUGAGUUGUGAAAGUGUAUACACUGGUCCUCUAGAUUUAAAAAAAU
Molecule: long non-coding RNA, 6088 nt
Filed under: Cucumis sativus (cucumber)
Lineage: Eukaryota; Viridiplantae; Streptophyta; Magnoliopsida; Cucurbitales; Cucurbitaceae
Description: long non-coding RNA (CSAT_LNC000488)
Source: RNAcentral